Molecule: transfer RNA, 87 nt
Filed under: Nitrospirota bacterium
Lineage: Bacteria; Pseudomonadati; Nitrospirota
Description: Nitrospirae bacterium tRNA-Leu
Rfam family: tRNA
About the family: Transfer RNA (tRNA) molecules are approximately 80 nucleotides in length. Their secondary structure includes four short double-helical elements and three loops (D, anti-codon, and T loops).
Source: RNAcentral
GCCGGGGUGGCGAAAUCGGUAGACGCAAGGGACUUAAAAUCCCUCGGCCUUCCGGCCAUGCGGGUUCGACCCCCGCCCCCGGCACCA